GCACCUAAGGAAGAAGCAGCCCGGGGAGUGCCCUCCACAGCAGAGUGGCAGACGGUCACAUCCAGGACCGGAGCUGCUCACAGCGAACAGGUACCAGUUCCUCCAGUCCAACUGAAGAACAGGUACGAGGCCCUGGCGACCCUGCAGGAGAUGGAAGGGGAGGAGGAAACCCUUGGGCAGGAAGAAACACCACAUUCUUCAGCUCUGAACAGGUCAAGAGAUCCAAGCGGACCCAGAGGAGGAGGCGACGAGUGCUCGUCAUAGGCGACUCCAUCCUGAGAGGUACGGAAGGGCCCAUCUGUCGCCAGGACCCCUCAACACGAGAGUGAACGGACGUGGAAGACGGCAUGAGAACUGCAUCAGAGAGACCAACUGGCGGCUUCGGCAGUGGUGUCUCGAGGCAGGCUUCGGCUUCCUGGACAACGACCCGCACAUCACGACAAGGGACAUGCUCACCUGGGAUGGGCUUCACCUGUCCCCCAAAGGUAAGCGUGUGUUUUCUUCUAGGUUGGCGGUUCUCCUCCGGCGGGCUUUAAACUAGGCUCGCCAGGGGGAAGGGAAGAUGAGGGCGGGGGAAGCUGUGGACCACCAAACCAUGUGGCACCCACAAGGACAGCCCAGACUAAAGAAAGAGAACAUUGGGAACCUCCAAGCUGCGGGGCGGCUAGCACUACGGCACAGGUAAGCAACGAGAAGGUAAGAAACAAGGGGUCCCUUGAAACUCAGAGCAGGGGGGCAGCAAAGGCACCAGUCGCAGGGCUCAAGUGCCUAUAUACUAAUGCUAGGAGCAUGGGAAACAAGCAGGAUGAACUAGCGCUCCUGCUUGCACAAAACACCUAUGACUUAGUAGGGCUAACGGAAAACUGGUGGGAUUCGUCCCACGACCGGGCAGUACAUAUUGAGGGUUAUAGAUUGUACAGAAAGGACAGGUCGGGGAAAAAAUGGGGAGGGGUUGCGCUCUAUGUCAGUGAGCAAUAUACGUCAAACCUAAUCAAGACGGAAUCCAAGGAUGAGGAAGUAGAAGGAUUGUGGGUUAGGCUACAUGGGGGGCAAGGAGAAAGGGAUUUGGUGGUAGGGGUCCGCUACAGACCCCCACAUCAAGGGGAAGAAAUAGAUGCGGGGCUCCUGAGGCAGCUCUCGGAGACCAUAAAAGCUAAAGAGGUGGUAGUCAUGGGGGACCUAAACUACCCGGACAUCUGCUGGGAGUCACAGACAGCAAAGUCCCACCGCUCACGCAGGUUUCUGACCUGUGUACAGGAUCUCCACCUGACACAGGAGGUACACGGUCCCACUAGGGGGAAUGCCAUACUGGAUCUGGUAUUGGCAACGGGGAAUGACAUGGUAGGGGACCUACAGAUUGGUAGCCAUCUGGGGGACAGUGAUCACCUAAUAAUAGAAUUCACCAUAAGACGUCGAGUGGGUAAGGUAACUAGUAGGGUGAAAGUGCUAGACUUUAGGAAAGCUGAUCUCAAUGAACUCAGGCGAUUAGUCAAGGACGCAUUGCAGAGUAGGAGUUUUGAAAUGAUGGGAGCCCAAGAAGGGUGGCUGUGCCUUAAGGAAACGAUCCUUUGGGCACAAAGCAAGACGAUCCCCGUGCGGGGUAAAAGAGGGAAAGGGGCCAGGAGGCUUCCCUGGCUGACCGCAGAAAUCCAGGGCAGCCUAAGGGCCAAAAGGGGAACACAUAAAAAGUGGAAACAGGGAGAGAUCACCGAAGACGAAUAUACCUCCUCUGCUCGUGCUUGUAGGGAGGCAGUUAGAUGGGCCAAAGCUACCAUGGAGCUGAGGAUGGCAUCCCAAGUAAAGGACAACAAGAAAUUGUUUUUUAGAUAUAUAGGGAGUAAAAGGAAGGCCCAGGGAGGAAUAGGACCCCUGCUAAAUGGGCAGAAACAAUUGGUGACGGAUAGGAGGGACAAGGCUGAACUCCUCAACGAGUUCUUUGCCUCAGUGUUCCUAAGUGAGGGGCACGACAAGUCUCUCACUGGGGUUGUAGAGAGGCAGCAGCAAGGCACCAGACUUCCAUGUGUAGACCCUGAGAUGGUGCAGGGUCACUUGGAAGAACUGGAUGCCUUUAAGUCGGCAGGCCCGGAUGAGCUCCAUCCGAGGGUGCUGAAGGCACUGGCCGACAUCAUUGCAGAGCCACUGGCAGGAAUAUUUGAAUGCUCGUGGCGCACGGGCCAAGUCCCGGAGGACUAGAAAAGGGCCAAUGUGGUCCCCAUUUUCAAGAAGGGGAGGAAGGAGGACCCAGGCAACUAUAGGCCAGUCAGUCUCACCUCCAUCCUUGGCAAAGUCUUUGAAAAAAUUAUCAGGGCUCACAUAUGCGAGAGCCUGGCAGGACAAAUUAUGCUGAGGGGAAACCAGCACGGGUUCGUGGCAGGCAGAUCGUGCCUGACCAAUCUAAUCUCUUUUUAUGACCAGGUUACAAAACGCCUGGACACAGGAGGAGCGGUGGAUGUCGUAUACUUAGACUUCAGGAAGGCCUUCGAUACGGGUGGAGAAGAUUUGCAGUGCCUAUUGAAGAAGGUAAUCAAAGAUUGUGGCUUAUUAGUGCUCACAUCCCACCUCCCAUGUGAAAUCCUCCCUCCUUGGGUGGAUGAUCAGGCUGUGACUCACUAGCUCAGUGGAAAUCUCAUCUGCAAAACUCAGCAGCUUCCUGCAUUUAAAGGAUAUCAAAAGGACAGUGUCAGGCAUUUUCUGUGGCCCGUGUCCCAUCAGAACACAAUGCACCCAGGUGUUACUACUUCUGCUCUUCCUGUCCUUUCUCUGCCUUCAUUAACCCUGCCUGUACAGCAUUUCCUGAGAGCACUUCCCAUUGCUUCCAAAGAGCCAUGGGGAACAUGAACCUCCUGCCAUCACUACCAUGCCAAGACUUGUCCUGUCUCAGCAUAUUUACCAUUCACUGCUGCUACUUACAUUUCCACCUAGCUUUGCCCCCUCGCUUUCUGGUUGAUAAUGGGAUCAUGAUGUGUAGAUGAGGAGCAGACUGAAUUUAGUGAGAAAAUGUUAGGGUUAUAGGCAUUGGAAAUUGAGCAUGGGGGAUAUGAAACACAAGGAAGGUUAAGAAAGUUGCUACCACAUUGUGGGUACCAGGGGUUAGAACCUGGGGCACACUGCCUGGACAAGUGUCCUAAACACUGGAUUUAAAAAAUGGUAUGACUCUACUACUUUUCCUUCUCUUCCUCCUACAUCCAAAAUUGGUAGUCUUGGCUUAUCUGGAACUUGCACUGAGGGACCUUCCAUCCUGUGCUGAAUAAGAUCAAAACCAAAUAUAAAUGACUACAGUGGAUUCAUUGAGCGAACAUCCUCAGAAGGAUAAAAUUAGUUCCCCAGCAGGAUCUAAAAACCAGUGCAAGCAGCAUGAAAUGUUAUACGGGCUGCUGAAGUUAGGCCAGGUAAGUGCUACGUACCUGCCUGAAGAAGGUUUGGAUUUGGGCUGAGGGUCACAAGUCCCCUUGCUGAAGAGAAGAGGGUGCAGAAGGAGAAGAGUUCUGAGGCCAAUCCUCCAUCUCUGUAUCCGUGUCUCUCUCACUGCCCUGUCUCUCCCAGGGGAGGGAAUCAUCUCUGCACUUUGAGAUCUCAGAG
RNA transcript from Alligator mississippiensis (American alligator), 3579 nucleotides. RefSeq lists it as uncharacterized. The record is from RefSeq and is a predicted model, not a curated record. NCBI's taxonomy places the organism in Eukaryota, Metazoa, Chordata, Crocodylia, Alligatoridae. The transcript has 3 exons.